This 832-nucleotide ribosomal RNA is filed under the name Staphylococcus aureus. RNAcentral describes it as "partial 23S ribosomal RNA". It matches the Rfam family "Bacterial large subunit ribosomal RNA", at positions 1 to 829 of the family's 2925-position model. Lineage: Bacteria; Bacillati; Bacillota; Bacilli; Caryophanales; Staphylococcaceae. The record is from RNAcentral.
AGAUUAAGUUAUUAAGGGCGCACGGUGGAUGCCUUGGCACUAGAAGCCGAUGAAGGACGUUACUAACGACGAUAUGCUUUGGGGAGCUGUAAGUAAGCUUUGAUCCAGAGAUUUCCGAAUGGGGAAACCCAGCAUGAGUUAUGUCAUGUUAUCGAUAUGUGAAUACAUAGCAUAUCAGAAGGCACACCCGGAGAACUGAAACAUCUUAGUACCCGGAGGAAGAGAAAGAAAAUUCGAUUCCCUUAGUAGCGGCGAGCGAAACGGGAAGAGCCCAAACCAACAAGCUUGCUUGUUGGGGUUGUAGGACACUCUAUACGGAGUUACAAAGGACGACAUUAGACGAAUCAUCUGGAAAGAUGAAUCAAAGAAGGUAAUAAUCCUGUAGUCGAAAAUGUUGUCUCUCUUGAGUGGAUCCUGAGUACGACGGAGCACGUGAAAUUCCGUCGGAAUCUGGGAGGACCAUCUCCUAAGGCUAAAUACUCUCUAGUGACCGAUAGUGAACCAGUACCGUGAGGGAAAGGUGAAAAGCACCCCGGAAGGGGAGUGAAAUAGAACCUGAAACCGUGUGCUUACAAGUAGUCAGAGCCCGUUAAUGGGUGAUGGCGUGCCUUUUGUAGAAUGAACCGGCGAGUUACGAUUUGAUGCAAGGUUAAGCAGUAAAUGUGGAGCCGUAGCGAAAGCGAGUCUGAAUAGGGCGUUUAGUAUUUGGUCGUAGACCCGAAACCAGGUGAUCUACCCUUGGUCAGGUUGAAGUUCAGGUAACACUGAAUGGAGGACCGAACCGACUUACGUUGAAAAGUGAGCGGAUGAACUGAGGGUAGCGGAGAAAUUC